ACUUGGUGUUUCCCCAAGUCUCCAGCCUCAUCUCUUGCCUCUCUUUCUCCUUCUCCCUUCUCUCUUAGUAUAAUGCUUUUCCUUCAGUUUCCUUUGCACACACCAUGCCCUUUUCAUACCCUGCCUUUUCACAGGCUGUUCUCAGAUGCAGAGUGCUUUUCAUUAACUGUUGAAUGAAUGAGUGAAUGAGUGACUGAAUAAGGUAUAUUGGAGAGUCAGGAUAGGAACCUGGUCAGGAGAAAGAUUAGAAGUAGUAAGGGGAUUAGGGAACUAAUCACAAAACUAUAAUAGAUGAUGCCGUUUUUUUUUUUUUUUUUGUAAGUUUGUUUUUAAUUGUUUUGUUUUGUUUUUGAGAAACUUUUUUUUUCAUUUUUAAAAGUUUUAUUGAAGUAUAGUUAAUUAACAAGGCUCUGAUAAUUUAUGCUGUACAACAAAACGAACCAGUCAUACAUAUACACAUAUACAUCCUGAUUCUUUUCUCACAUAGAUUAUCACAGAAUACCGGGUAAAGUUCUCUGUGCUGUCUAGCAUGUCCCCGCUGGCCAGUCAUUCCAUAUACCUCAGUGUGAAUAUGCCAAUCCCAAAUCCCCAUUCCAUCCCUCUCACCCACCAACCUGUCCCCUUUGGUAAGUUUUUUUUUUUCAAAGUCUGUGGGUCUGUUUCUCUUCUGCAAAUAAGUUCAUUUGUAUCCUUUUUUAAAUGAUUCCACAUAUAGGUGAUAUAUGAUAUCUGUCUUUCACUACAUUGACUAACUUCACUUAUGAUAGUUUCUGGGUCUAUCCAUGUUGCUGCAAAUGGCAUUAUUUCAUUCUUUUUUACUGCUGAGUAAUUCUAUUGUGUAUACGUUCUACUUCUUAUUUAUCCACUCCUUUGUCAAUGGACAUUUAGGUUGCUUCCAUGUCUUGGCUAUUUUUUUUGUAGCAUUUUUUAUUACUCAAUUACUUGGCUAUUGUUAAUAGUGGUGCAGUUAACACUGGGGUGCAUUUAUCUUUUUGAAUUAUGGUUUUCUCUGGAUAGAUGCCCAGGAGUGGGAUUGCUGGUAGUUCUAUUUCUAGUUUUUUGAGGAACUUCUAUAUUGUUUUUCAUAGUGGUUGCACCAAUGCACAUUCCUGCCAACAGUGUAAAAAGGUUCCCUUUUUUCCAUACCCUCUCCAGCAUUUAUUAUUUGUAGACUUUUUGAUGAUGGCCAUUCUGGCUGGUAUAAGGUGUACCUUAUAGUAGUUUUGAUUUGCAUUUCUCUAAUAAUUAGUGAUUUUUGAGCAUCUUUUCAUAUUUUUUUUUACCAUAUGUAUGUCUUCUUUGGAGAAAUGUUUAUUUAGAUCUGCCAGUUUUUUUAUUGGGUGGUUUGUUUUUUGGUAUUGAGCUGCAGGAGUUGUUUUUUAUAUUUUGGAGAUUAAUCCUUUGUCAGUUGUUUCAUUUGCAAAUAUAUUUUUUUCAUUCUGUGGGCUGUCUUUUUGUUUUGUUUAGGGUUUCCUUUGCUGUGCAAACACUUGUAAGUUUAAUUACAUCCCAUUGGUGAAUUUUUGUUUUUAUUGUCAUUACUUUAGGAGGUGGAUCUGAGAAGACAUUGCUGAGACAGUGUUUGGACUAUGUUUUCCUCUGAGAGUUUUAUAGUAUCUGGUUUUAUAUUUAGGUCUUUAAUCCAUUUUGAGUUUAUUUUUGUGUAUGAUGUUAGAGAGUGUUCUAACUUCAUUCUUUUGCAUGUAGCUGUCCAGCUUUCCCAGCGCCACUUAUUGAAGAGACUGCCUUUUCUCCAUUGUGUAUUCUUGCACUAUUCUUUGUCAUAGAUUAAUUAGCCAUAGGUGCUUGGAUGUAUUUCUGGGCUUUCUGUCCUGUUCCAUUGAUCUAUAUUUCUGUUUUUGUGCCAGUACCAUACUGUUUUAAUGACUGUAUCUUUGUAGUAUAGUCUGAAGCCAGGGAGCCUGAUUCCUCCAUCUCCAUUUUUCUUUCUCGGGAUGGCUUUGGAUAUUCGAGGUCUUUUGUGUUUCCAAACAAAUUUUAAAAUAUUUUGUUCUAAUUCUGUGAAAAAUUGCUAUUGGUAAUUUUAUAGGAAUUGCAUUGACUCUGUAGAUUGCCUUGGAUAAUAUAGUCAUUUUGACAGUAUUGAUUCUUCCAGUCCAAGAGCAUGGUAUAUCUUUUCAUCUUUUUGUGUCAUCUUUGGUUUCUUUCAUCAGUAACUUAUAGUUUUCAGAGCACAGGUUUUUGUUGCAUCCAUAACAUAAAGAAAUUCCCAGGCCAGGGAUCAAACCUGUGCCACAGCAGUAACAAUUCCAAAUCCUUAACCCACCAAGCCACCAGGGAACUUCAUUUCUUGUUCUUCUUUUAAGUGUCAGCAUUAGUGCCACAUUCUCUAGGAAGCUUUUCUAUUCCCAAGCUAGUAAAAACCCCUGCUAUAAGCUAUGGAACUCCCUACAUGCAUUUCCCUUCUGUAAUACUCACCACACUUUGAAGACACACACUUUUAUAUCUUUCUUAUCUGGUUUUAUAUUCUUAGUACACAGCAUUGUAAACAGUACUGGUAGUUGUUCUCUGUAUUUAUUGACUUAAAUUACACAUAGUUACUCCAGGACACAUAGUUGAUUUGUUUUUCUUAUUGGUUGGGUGUUUUAUUUGUCUAGCCAUUUGUUUCUUGC
This 2633-nucleotide long non-coding RNA is filed under the name Sus scrofa (pig). Its description in RNAcentral is "lncRNA (ENSSSCG00015021849.1)". Lineage: Eukaryota; Metazoa; Chordata; Mammalia; Artiodactyla; Suidae. The record is from RNAcentral.